AAGUUACUAAAUUAAAUCUUUCUUAUAUUUUCAAAAUAUACGCUUUAUAUAAGCUAAAUAACUAGC
This 66-nucleotide transfer RNA is filed under the name Haldorus furcatus. RNAcentral describes it as "tRNA-Ser". Lineage: Eukaryota; Metazoa; Arthropoda; Insecta; Hemiptera; Cicadellidae. The record is from RNAcentral.